UUUUUCCCUUCAACGGUAGAUUUAUGUUAAAGCAUGAAUAUAUAUUUUUUUUUCCUUCUUAUUUUUUCAUUAUGAGGAGUACUUCUAAUUGGAAGAGGAUUCUUGAUUGACAAAGAAUUUGUUUAUCUUUUUUAUUAUUAUUUUUUUCCUUUUUGGAUUUUUCCCCCUUAUUGGGAUAUUGUUGAUUUGGGAAUUUGUCAAAUGUUGUUUUGUAUAAUUUUUUUCAAAAGAGAAUAAACUGAACUAAGAAUAUAUUGUACCUGAAAGAGCAUGCACGCUAGAAAUCAAAGGUUGAUGGAGAAGAGGGUGAAACUUGUCAAAAACAAACAAUGCCUAGAUGUCUAUGUCAAAGGGUAGUGCGCUUUCUCAAUCUCUCCUAGUCUUAUAUAGGCGAAAUUGCAUACAUCAAAAAUGGAAGGGAGCAAUGGAAAUCAUUCUUCUACAACAAACUUGACAUGUUUUGAUGUAGCUUCAACACAACCCCAAAAUAAUUGUCCCUAAAUAUUUCACCCUCGAAAUAAAGGCCAAAGCUCAGAAUCAAAGCAUAAAAAUGAGUUUUUGUUCAGUGAGAAAACUCAUUUUUGUUGAUUUUUAGCUCUCCCCCCUCUCUUUCUCUCUCUGAGAAAACUCAAAGAGCUGAGGCGCGGUGGUUGACGAUCAGCUUCGACGAUGAUCUCACCGACUAUCUCAUCUCCAACGACUAGCAGAGGCGCAAUGUCAGCAAUCUCAGCUCCGCCACUUCUUCAUCAGAUUACAGAUCUCUCUGAUCUAUUUAACUCUCUGUUAGUUUAUUAAUUUACUAGUUUAAUUGAGAAAAUUUUGUGUGAAUUCAAUAGAUUUGUUAAUUACAUUUGAGAAAAUUUUGUGUGAAUUCUACAUUUGUUAAUUACACUGUGGAGCCAAUGAAUUUGGGGGAACUCACUUUGCUCAAGGUAACUUUUCUCUUUUUCUCUGUUUGUUUACUGAGAAAAUGAAUGAAAAUUUCAUGCUUAUGUUGAAGCUUGGUGGUUAAUGUCUAUAUGCCUUUGAUUUCAGAAAGAGCAACAAUUUUACCCUAGAAAAUUAAAGGAAAAUUAAAGAGGAACAAAUAUAAUACAAGAAUUAAAACUCUGAAUAGUUUGUUAUUGAAUAAUCGAUCUUUGAUUGUAGCAUUCUAUUGUCCAUUGGAUAUUGGAAUAAAUGUGUUCUUGUUGUGAAUCUUGUAGUUUCAGUAGAAUGCGAAAACUUGUGUAGCUUUAUGUUUGAAUCUUACUUGCAAAGCAUUGCAAUGAGUCUGAAACUUCUUGGCAAGGUCUGAUCAUAUUUGUGGAUUUCAAAUUUCUGAUUAUGGAUUGCAAUCUUUAGUUUUCAUCUUCGUAAAAAUGUCUCUCUUAAAUGGUAAGUCUUUUCAGGCCACUUACCAAAGGAAAUUGCUGAUUACUUUAAUAAGAUGGGUGCAAGGAUACCAAUCAAAAAACCUGGGAAGGCUACCAUAGAAGACCUCACAAAGAUUCAAGCAUCAACUCGUUUUUGGAGUAUGUAUUUCUUUCAAAGAGAGUAUUUAUGAGAAAUCUUGGUAACAGUCCGCUGAAUAACUAGUUAAGUGAUAUGUUUGGAAAACUUUCAAAACUGAAAGAGAUUGAAGAUGUCUAAAGUGGGGCAAAGUACUGAUUUGUGUUAUAAGGCAACAGAGGAGAGGUGCAAAAACUAAGGGGGCAUACAUCAUCCUGGAACCUCCUAACUUUGAUAAUCAAAAGUUUCUCACCUUUGAAGCAGUUACUCCAAGGUCAAAGGUAUUGAUAGUUUGACAAGACAUGAAGAUGAAAUCAAGAAAGAUUGCAUCUCAAUGUGCUUAGCAAGUUGCUACUCUACACUUUUUUCCUCGGAAAUUUUUUUCAUACCUUAUACACCAAGACAUAGCGUUAUUGGGUUAUUCGGCUCAAAAGUUACAUAUUGUAAUUAUAGCAUUAGUGGGGGUUUUAAAAAGUGCAAUAUGAAACUGGGUUUUUGGUAAAAACUGAGUGUUUGGUAAAA
Long non-coding RNA from Quercus lobata, 2013 nucleotides. RefSeq lists it as uncharacterized. Lineage: Eukaryota; Viridiplantae; Streptophyta; Magnoliopsida; Fagales; Fagaceae. The transcript has 5 exons. The record is from RefSeq and is a predicted model, not a curated record.